UGUGGUGGAAAGAUUUAUCGGUGCAGGAUGGGCCCGCGGCCUAUCAGCUUGUUGGUGGGGUAAUGGCCUACCAAGGCGACGACGGGUAGCCGACCUGAGAGGGUGACCGGCCACACUGGGACUGAGACACGGCCCAGACUCCUACGGGAGGCAGCAGUGGGGAAUAUUGCACAAUGGGCGGAAGCCUGAUGCAGCGACGCCGCGUGAGGGAUGAAGGCCUUCGGGUUGUAAACCUCUUUCAGCAGGGACGAAGCGUGAGUGACGGUACCUGCAGAAGAAGCACCGGCUAACUACGUGCCAGCAGCCGCGGUAAUACGUAGGGUGCGAGCGUUGUCCGGAAUUACUGGGCGUAAAGAGUUCGUAGGCGGUUUGUCGCGUCGUUUGUGAAAACCCGGGGCUCAACUUCGGGCUUGCAGGCGAUACGGGCAGACUUGAGUGUUUCAGGGGAGACUGGAAUUCCUGGUGUAGCGGUGAAAUGCGCAGAUAUCAGGAGGAACACCGGUGGCGAAGGCGGGUCUCUGGGAAACAACUGACGCUGAGGAACGAAAGCGUGGGUAGCAAACAGGAUUAGAUACCCUGGUAGUCCACGCCGUAAACGGUGGGCGCUAGGUG
Molecule: ribosomal RNA, 612 nt
Filed under: Rhodococcoides fascians
Lineage: Bacteria; Bacillati; Actinomycetota; Actinomycetes; Mycobacteriales; Nocardiaceae
Description: bacterial SSU rRNA
Rfam family: Bacterial small subunit ribosomal RNA
Source: RNAcentral